RNAcentral lists this ribosomal RNA (301 nucleotides) under uncultured bacterium. RNAcentral describes it as "partial 16S ribosomal RNA". It matches the Rfam family "Bacterial small subunit ribosomal RNA", at positions 509 to 807 of the family's 1533-position model. The record is from RNAcentral.
CAGCAGCCGCGGGAAUACGAAGGGGGCUAGCGUUGCUCGGAAUUACUGGGCGUAAAGGGAGCGUAGGCGGAUGUUUAAGUCAGAGGUGAAAGCCCAGGGCUCAACCUUGGAACUGCCUUUGAUACUGGACAUCUUGAGUAUGGGAGAGGUAAGCGGAACUCCGAGUGUAGAGGUGAAAUUCGUAGAUAUUCGGAAGAACACCAGUGGCGAAGGCGGCUUACUGGCCCAUUACUGACGCUGAGGCUCGAAAGCGUGGGGAGCAAACAGGAUUAGAUACCCCCGUAGUCCCUGUCUCUUAUAC